GACGAACGCUGGCGGCGUGCUUAACACAUGCCAGUCGAACGGUGAAGCGCCUUCCUCCCUGGGGGGGGCGGAUGAGGGGCGAACGGGUGAGUAACACGUGGGUAACCUGCCCCCCGCUACUGGAUAACCGCUUGAAAGUGUGGCUAAUACGGGACAUCCUGGGCCUGUGGCAUGAUGGGCCCGGGGAGGGGAUUGCGUCCGAGGGGGUGGGGCUCGCGGCCUAUCAGCUUGUUGGCGGGGUGAUGGCCUACCAAGGCGGUGGCGGGUAGCCGGCCUGAGAGGGUGCGCGGUCAGACUGGGACGGGGGCACGGCCCAGACUGGUACGGGAGACGGCAGUGGGGAAUAUUGCACGAUGGGGGGAAGCCUGAUGCAGCGACGCCGCGUGAGGGAUGGAGGCCUUCGGGUUGUGAGCCUCUUUCGCCAGUGAAGCAGGCCUGCCUCGUUUGUGAGUGGGUUGACAGUAGCUGGAGAAGAAGCGCCGGCUAACUACGUG
This 494-nucleotide ribosomal RNA is filed under the name uncultured bacterium. RNAcentral describes it as "partial 16S ribosomal RNA". It matches the Rfam family "Bacterial small subunit ribosomal RNA", at positions 28 to 507 of the family's 1533-position model. The record is from RNAcentral.